CACGUAGGGUGCGAGCGUUGUCCGGAAUUAUUGGGCGUAAAGAGCUCGUAGGCGGUGUGUCGCGUCGGCCGUGAAAACCUGCAGCUUAACUGUGGGCUUGCGGUCGAUACGGGCAUCACUGGAGUUCGGUAGGGGAGACUGGAAUUCCUGGUGUAGCGGUGAAAUGCGCAGAUAUCAGGAGGAACACCGGUGGCGAAGGCGGGUCUCUGGGCCGAUACUGACGCUGAGGAGCGAAAGCGUGGGGGAGCGAACAGG
RNAcentral lists this ribosomal RNA (255 nucleotides) under uncultured bacterium. RNAcentral describes it as "partial 16S ribosomal RNA". It matches the Rfam family "Bacterial small subunit ribosomal RNA", at positions 524 to 776 of the family's 1533-position model. The record is from RNAcentral.